This 2169-nucleotide ribosomal RNA is filed under the name human gut metagenome. RNAcentral's name for it is "bacterial LSU rRNA". It matches the Rfam family "Bacterial large subunit ribosomal RNA", at positions 233 to 2428 of the family's 2925-position model. The record is from RNAcentral.
GAUUCCCCCAGUAGCGGCGAGCGAACGGGGAGGAGCCCAGAGCCUGAAUCAGUGUGUGUGUUAGUGGAAGCGUCUGGAAAGGCGCGCGAUACAGGGUGACAGCCCCGUACACAAAAAUGCACAUGCUGUGAGCUCGAUGAGUAGGGCGGGACACGUGGUAUCCUGUCUGAAUAUGGGGGGACCAUCCUCCAAGGCUAAAUACUCCUGACUGACCGAUAGUGAACCAGUACCGUGAGGGAAAGGCGAAAAGAACCCCGGCGAGGGGAGUGAAAAAGAACCUGAAACCGUGUACGUACAAGCAGUGGGAGCCUCUUUAUGGGGUGACUGCGUACCUUUUGUAUAAUGGGUCAGCGACUUAUAUUCUGUAGCAAGGUUAACCGAAUAGGGGAGCCGAAGGGAAACCGAGUCUUAACUGGGCGUUAAGUUGCAGGGUAUAGACCCGAAACCCGGUGAUCUAGCCAUGGGCAGGUUGAAGGUUGGGUAACACUAACUGGAGGACCGAACCGACUAAUGUUGAAAAAUUAGCGGAUGACUUGUGGCUGGGGGUGAAAGGCCAAUCAAACCGGGAGAUAGCUGGUUCUCCCCGAAAGCUAUUUAGGUAGCGCCUCGUGAAUUCAUCUCCGGGGGUAGAGCACUGUUUCGGCAAGGGGGUCAUCCCGACUUACCAACCCGAUGCAAACUGCGAAUACCGGAGAAUGUUAUCACGGGAGACACACGGCGGGUGCUAACGUCCGUCGUGAAGAGGGAAACAACCCAGACCGCCAGCUAAGGUCCCAAAGUCAUGGUUAAGUGGGAAACGAUGUGGGAAGGCCCAGACAGCCAGGAUGUUGGCUUAGAAGCAGCCAUCAUUUAAAGAAAGCGUAAUAGCUCACUGGUCGAGUCGGCCUGCGCGGAAGAUGUAACGGGGCUAAACCAUGCACCGAAGCUGCGGCAGCGACACUAUGUGUUGUUGGGUAGGGGAGCGUUCUGUAAGCCUGUGAAGGUGUACUGUGAGGUAUGCUGGAGGUAUCAGAAGUGCGAAUGCUGACAUAAGUAACGAUAAAGCGGGUGAAAAGCCCGCUCGCCGGAAGACCAAGGGUUCCUGUCCAACGUUAAUCGGGGCAGGGUGAGUCGACCCCUAAGGCGAGGCCGAAAGGCGUAGUCGAUGGGAAACAGGUUAAUAUUCCUGUACUUGGUGUUACUGCGAAGGGGGGACGGAGAAGGCUAUGUUGGCCGGGCGACGGUUGUCCCGGUUUAAGCGUGUAGGCUGGUUUUCCAGGCAAAUCCGGAAAACUAAGGCUGAGGCGUGAUGACGAGGCACUACGGUGCUGAAGCAACAAAUGCCCUGCUUCCAGGAAAAGCCUCUAAGCAUCAGGUAACAUCAAAUCGUACCCCAAACCGACACAGGUGGUCAGGUAGAGAAUACCAAGGCGCUUGAGAGAACUCGGGUGAAGGAACUAGGCAAAAUGGUGCCGUAACUUCGGGAGAAGGCACGCUGAUAUGUAGGUGAAGCGACUUGCUCGUGGAGCUGAAAUCAGUCGAAGAUACCAGCUGGCUGCAACUGUUUAUUAAAAACACAGCACUGUGCAAACACGAAAGUGGACGUAUACGGUGUGACGCCUGCCCGGUGCCGGAAGGUUAAUUGAUGGGGUUAGCGCAAGCGAAGCUCUUGAUCGAAGCCCCGGUAAACGGCGGCCGUAACUAUAACGGUCCUAAGGUAGCGAAAUUCCUUGUCGGGUAAGUUCCGACCUGCACGAAUGGCGUAAUGAUGGCCAGGCUGUCUCCACCCGAGACUCAGUGAAAUUGAACUCGCUGUGAAGAUGCAGUGUACCCGCGGCAAGACGGAAAGACCCCGUGAACCUUUACUAUAGCUUGACACUGAACAUUGAGCCUUGAUGUGUAGGAUAGGUGGGAGGCUUUGAAGUGUGGACGCCAGUCUGCAUGGAGCCGACCUUGAAAUACCACCCUUUAAUGUUUGAUGUUCUAACGUUGGCCCCUGAUCGGGGUUGCGGACAGUGUCUGGUGGGUAGUUUGACUGGGGCGGUCUCCUCCUAAAGAGUAACGGAGGAGCACGAAGGUUGGCUAAUCCUGGUCGGACAUCAGGAGGUUAGUGCAAUGGCAUAAGCCAGCUUGACUGCGAGCGUGACGGCGCGAGCAGGUGCGAAAGCAGGUCAUAGUGAUCCGGUGGUU